This 243-nucleotide ribosomal RNA is filed under the name uncultured bacterium. RNAcentral's name for it is "partial 16S ribosomal RNA". It matches the Rfam family "Bacterial small subunit ribosomal RNA", at positions 524 to 769 of the family's 1533-position model. The record is from RNAcentral.
UACGGAGGGUGCGAGCGUUGUCCGGAAUCAUUGGGCGUAAAGGGCGCGUAGGUGGCCCGGUCAGUCCGUGGUGAAAGCGCGGGGCUCAACCCCGCGCGGCCAUGGAUACUGCUGGGCUGGAGCACUGUAGAGGCAGGCGAAUCCGGGUGUAGCGGUGGAAUGCGUAGAGAUCCGGAAGAACGACCGGUGGCGCAAGGCGGCCUGCUGGGCAGUUGCUGACACUGAGGCGCGCAGCGUGGGAGC